UAAGGAAUAUUGGUCAAUGGGCGGAAGCCUGAACCAGCCAUGCCGCGUGCAGGAAGACGGCCCUACGGGUUGUAAACUGCUUUUGCAGGGGAAUAAACCCCCGGUCGUGACCGGGGCUGAAUGUACUCUGAGAAUAAGGAUCGGCUAACUCCGUGCCAGCAGCCGCGGUAAUACGGAGGAUCCGAGCGUUAUCCGGAUUUAUUGGGUUUAAAGGGUGCGUAGGCGGCCUUGUAAGUCAGGGGUGAAAGACGGUAGCUUAACUAUCGCAGUGCCUUUGAUACUGCAGGGCUUGAAUACACUAGAGGUAGGCGGAAUGUGACAAGUAGCGGUGAAAUGCAUAGAUAUGUCACAGAACACCAAUUGCGAAGGCAGCUUACUAUGGUGAGAUUGACGCUGAGGCACGAAAGCGUGGGGAUCAAACAGG
RNAcentral lists this ribosomal RNA (424 nucleotides) under uncultured Mucilaginibacter sp. RNAcentral describes it as "bacterial SSU rRNA". It matches the Rfam family "Bacterial small subunit ribosomal RNA", at positions 355 to 776 of the family's 1533-position model. Lineage: Bacteria; Pseudomonadati; Bacteroidota; Sphingobacteriia; Sphingobacteriales; Sphingobacteriaceae. The record is from RNAcentral.